RNAcentral lists this ribosomal RNA (170 nucleotides) under uncultured rumen bacterium. RNAcentral describes it as "partial 16S ribosomal RNA". It matches the Rfam family "Bacterial small subunit ribosomal RNA", at positions 340 to 524 of the family's 1533-position model. The record is from RNAcentral.
UACGGGAGGCAGCAGUGGGGAAUAUUGCGCAAUGGGGGAAACCCUGACGCAGCAACGCCGCGUGGAGGAUGAAGGUCUUCGGAUUGUAAACUUCUUUAAUAGGGGACGAAAAAAAUGACGGUACCUUAAGAAAAAGUCACGGCUAACUACGUGCCAGCAGCCGCGGUAAU